UUUAUAUCUUUAGCAGUGACUAAAAUAUAAG
Xenopus tropicalis (tropical clawed frog) is the source of this 31-nucleotide non-coding RNA. Lineage: Eukaryota; Metazoa; Chordata; Amphibia; Anura; Pipidae. The record is from Rfam.